RNAcentral lists this long non-coding RNA (1829 nucleotides) under Equus asinus (donkey). RNAcentral's name for it is "lncRNA (ENSEASG00005033823.1)". Lineage: Eukaryota; Metazoa; Chordata; Mammalia; Perissodactyla; Equidae. The record is from RNAcentral.
UUUCUAUUCAUGAGUCAGCUUCGGCAAGUUAUAUUUUAUAUAAAAUUGUCCAUUAUGUCUCUCUUUUCAAAGUUAUCGAUGUAAAGUUCUGCACAAUUCUUCACAGUUGUCUAUUUUCCAUUUCUAAUAUUAUUUAUUUGUAAUUUUUCUUUUUUCUUGAUCAAUCUUGCUGAAGAUUUGCUAUUAUAGUGGUUCUUUCAAAGAACAAGCUUUCAGUGUUGUUGAACAUUUUUAUGUCUUUCAUUUCUAUUUUAUUUGUUAAUUUAUUUAUUUGAGGAAGAUUAGCCCUGAGCUAACAUCUGCCACCAAUCCUCCUCUUCUUGCUGAGGAACGCUGGCCCUGAGCUAACAUGCAUGCCCAUCUUCUUCUACUUUAUAUGUAGGAUGCCUACCACAGCAUGGCUUGCCAAGCAGUGCCAUGUCUGUACCCGGCAUCUGAACCGGCAACCCAGGCCGCUGAAAUGUGUGAACUUAACCGCUGCACCCCCGGGCUGACCCCUAUUUCAUUUAUUUUUGAUCUCAUCUCGCUCCUUCCUCUUACUUUCUUUAGGCUUACUCUUUUUUUUUUUUUUUAACUUACUGAGUUAGACACUUAGUUUAAUUUCACUAUUUCUUUUUUCUCUAAUAUAUACAUCUAAAACUAUACAUUUUCAUGUAAGUAAUACUGUGCUGGAUUUAAAGUUAUGUCCACAAAAUUCUUUGAUACUUUUCUCUUUGAAUGGUAGAGCUUAAUUCCUUUCCCCUUGGCUAUGGACUUAGGGACUCAUUGCCAAUAAAUAGACCGCUGUGGAAGUGAUGGUGUGUGAGCUUGGAAUUGGAUGGUCCAGCUUCAGAUAACUGCAGCUCCAGCUGACAUCUUGAAUGCACCUCGUGAGAGACCUUGAGCCAGAACCACUCAGCUAAGUUGCUCUGAGAUUCCUGACCCACAGACCCUCUGAGAUAAUAAAUGUUUGUUAACUUAAGCUGACACCUCAUCAGAACCAGCAGGAGACAGCAUCACCCCGUGUCUGAUAUUCCUGUUGCCAGCAGCUGCAAUUAGGAUGUAGGAGAGCCAACAUUCCCAAGACUCAGCACAAGAAUUCUACUAGUUAACAGCAGGAGGAAAGAGCAGGAUGAGAAGCGCAAAAACUUACCCAUGGAAGAAGAAAAUGGAAGAAAAUGUUAAAUAGAAUGUGGGGCAUGUAAUGUUUUGCUUUGACAGUGAUAUUGAUCUUUUGCUUUUGCACCUGAGUCUUGGUCCCUUUUGUUACAUGUUCCGUGAGCGCUCAAAAGACUGCGUUGCUCUUAAGUUCAAGGCUGUAUGUAUGCCCAUUAGGUGAACUUUAUUUUGUUACUCAAAUAUGCUAUAUCGUUAUUAGAAGAAUGUUAUUUUAUGGUUCAAAUGUUCUAUAUCCUUCUGAAUAUUUUGUCUUUAAGUGUCAAUGAGUGAGAGAAAUAUGUUUAAAAAUCUGCUACUAUGAUUGUUGAUUUACCACGUUCUUUUUGUAAUUCUAACGAUGUUAAAUGUUAAAUGUAUUAGAGCUUAGAACUGUUACAGUUUCCAGAUAAAUUGUUCCUUUUACCAGAAUGUAGUGUCCCUUUUUCUAUAACCUAAUAAUACUUCUUGCAUUAAAGUUUAUUUUCUCAGAUAUUGACAUAGUUACAUCAACUUUCCCUUUAUCGCUAACUGCUAUAUCGUUUUUAAUCUUUCAGUGCCAUUGUUUUAUUAGUUCUUUUGUAAACAGCAUAGCUGGAUUAUUUUUCCCAGUCUAGGAGCCUGUCUUUUGGCAAAUAUGAGUUACUCUUCUUAUGUUUAUUGUAAUUAUUGAUAGAUCAAUUAAUUUCUAUUAU